CAUCAUCUCAAAGCGGAUAUCCACAUAAUCUCUUUCCAGGAUCGCGAAACAACACUCGAUCAUCGCGGCAUCACCGGCGAAAGGGUAAGUUUGCCGAUAAUCAAACUCGAUAUCCGAGUCAUCAGAAUUAGGUUCCGGUUGUUCUCCCGGAUUUCUGCUCAACGCGUCAGCAAUUACAUUCUCCUUGCCAGUCAACUUGCGGCUUAGAUACGCAAUAGGACGCCAGUUUGUUGGCACACCAGUUGGUUUAUCCUUGGGACAUUGCAUAAGAACUGCACCCACAGCAAUAGUACUUGCAUCGACGAUAACACGCGACAAAGCCUCCGGGUCAUAACGGGCCAAGACCGGCGCCGUCACCAAGGCCUCCUUCAAUUGUUCCACAGACCUGCACUGAUCCGUUCCCCAUUCAAAGGGCCAAAUUCUUUAACCGCCUGGAUCUUCUCUGGAUCCGUACUUAUACCAAAUUGAUCGACCGUGUGACCCAAGAACGUUAUUGAAUUUACAAAUAAUUCUGUUUUUUCAGGAUUAAUGGUCCAGCCGC
Molecule: long non-coding RNA, 541 nt
Organism: Paramacrobiotus metropolitanus
Lineage: Eukaryota; Metazoa; Tardigrada; Eutardigrada; Parachela; Macrobiotidae
Exons: 3
Source: RefSeq, a predicted model, not a curated record